RNAcentral lists this ribosomal RNA (447 nucleotides) under uncultured bacterium. RNAcentral describes it as "partial 16S ribosomal RNA". It matches the Rfam family "Bacterial small subunit ribosomal RNA", at positions 29 to 523 of the family's 1533-position model. The record is from RNAcentral.
AACGAACGCUGGCGGCAGGCUUAACACAUGCAAGUCGAGCGCGUAGUAAUACGAGCGGCAGACGGGUGAGUAACGCGUGGGAAUCUACCGUACCCUAUGGAAUAGCUCCGGGAAACUGGAAGUAAUACCAUAUACGCCCGAAAGGGGAAAGAUUUAUCGGGGUAUGAUGAGCCCGCGUUGGAUUAGCUAGUUGGUGGGGUAAAGGCCUACCAAGGCGACGAUGCAUAGCUGGUCUGAGAGGAUGAUCAGCCACAUUGGGACUGAGACACGGCCCAAACUCCUACGGGAGGCAGCAGUGGGGAAUAUUGGACAAUGGGCGCAAGCCUGAUCCAGCCAUGCCGCGUGAGUGAUGAAGGUCUUAGGAUUGUAAAGCUCUUUCACCGAUGAAGAUAAUGACGGUAGUCGGAGAAGAAGCCCCGGCAAACUUCGUGCCAGCCGCCGCAGUAA